This 454-nucleotide ribosomal RNA is filed under the name uncultured organism. RNAcentral describes it as "bacterial SSU rRNA". It matches the Rfam family "Bacterial small subunit ribosomal RNA", at positions 346 to 794 of the family's 1533-position model. The record is from RNAcentral.
GCGCAGCAGUCGAGAAUUUUGACAAUGGGGGAAACCCUGAUCGAGCGACGCCGCGUGGAGGAUGAAGGUCUUCGGAUUGUAAACUCCUGUCAUUGGGGAACAAGGUGCAUACGUUAACUGCGUGUGUAUUGAUAGUACCCGAAGAGGAAGGGACGGCUAACUCUGUGCCAGCAGCCGCGGUAAUACAGAGGUCCCAAGCGUUGUUCGGAUUCAUUGGGCGUAAAGGGUGCGUAGGCGGCGCGGUAAGUCGGGAGUGAAAUCUCGGAGCUUAACUCCGAAACUGCAUUCGAUACUGCCGUGCUUGAGGACUGGAGAGGAGACUGGAAUUUACGGUGUAGCGGUGAAAUGCGUAGAUAUCGUAAGGAAGACCAGUGGCGAAGGCGGGUCUCUGGACAGUUCCUGACGCUGAGGCACGAAGGCCAGGGGAGCAAACGGGAUUAGAUACCCGUGUAGU